This is a long non-coding RNA of Cyprinus carpio (common carp), 771 nucleotides long. RefSeq lists it as uncharacterized. The record is from RefSeq and is a predicted model, not a curated record. NCBI's taxonomy places the organism in Eukaryota, Metazoa, Chordata, Actinopteri, Cypriniformes, Cyprinidae.
GAAAGAAACACACAGACUCUAAGUGAUUUUUUUUUUCCUGAUUAAAGUCGCUAGUUAUGCGGACAGGGUGGCUGUUGAAUCUGUUAAAAAUACCCUCCUCUGUCCUAGUGCCCUAUUUGCCCAGCCAUAUAUGGACACACUGACACUGGGGUUCAGCGUUUGGCAGCUCGAAAGCAGUCGUCGCCCAUCACGCAUGCGCACCAGCGACGCUGCGCUCAUUCAUGAUGACCGACAACAGAAAAGAUACAUUUUAAUAAUGUUCCCAGCGCCCUCGCACUAACAUGCCACAAAUCUGUCACAACAGCACCUGUCAGCCCCCAAAUCAUGCGUUAUACGCGCACAGAUGCUCACGCUGCAACAUCGCAUAACGCCGAUAGCCGAUGUCGAUCACAUAUUGCGCAGAACAAACACGCACGAUUAGCCGUCUCUAGGUGACGGUGAGUGUUUAUAACAGCGUGCGCGUGAAUCUGUAAUGAUCAGAAACACACCGCGCGUCUGUCGACCGCACGCAUCCACCAUCGGCCGUCCGUCUGUCUUUGUCUUGACCAGAUAGGCACAAAAUGAGCAAAGUGCGACUGCUGUACAUCACAACAACAUUAGAAGAUGAGGAGCAGGACAUUGACGAGGAGGCACUAGGACAGUUCUACAGGUGAAGAGUACCUUCAAAAAUAAGCACUUGCAGAAAAGCGCAGCAUUACAUUUCCAUUAUGUCAGCAUUGGGAAGCUGAAAUCACAAUAAAGACGUAAAGCAAUUUUUACGUGAAAAAAAAG